This 97-nucleotide signal recognition particle RNA is filed under the name Erysipelotrichaceae bacterium. RNAcentral describes it as "signal recognition particle sRNA small type". It matches the Rfam family "Bacterial small signal recognition particle RNA". From Rfam's summary of the family: The signal recognition particle (SRP) is a universally conserved ribonucleoprotein involved in the co-translational targeting of proteins to membranes. Archaeal SRP consists of a 7S RNA and homologues of the eukaryotic SRP19 and SRP54 proteins. Lineage: Bacteria; Bacillati; Bacillota; Erysipelotrichia; Erysipelotrichales; Erysipelotrichaceae. The record is from RNAcentral.
UAUAUUUGCCAUCGCGAUGGGAGUAGGCGAACCAAGUCAGGACCGGGAGGUAGCAGCUUUAAACUGAUCUCACAUGUGCGGUGGUUUUUAUUUAGGU